Molecule: ribosomal RNA, 434 nt
Filed under: uncultured Clostridium sp.
Lineage: Bacteria; Bacillati; Bacillota; Clostridia; Eubacteriales; Clostridiaceae
Description: partial 16S ribosomal RNA
Rfam family: Bacterial small subunit ribosomal RNA
Source: RNAcentral
ACGGGAGGCAGCAGUGGGGAAUAUUGGACAAUGGGGGCAACCCUGAUCCUGCGACGCCGCGUGAGUGAAGAAGUAUUUCGGUAUGUAAAGCUCUUUAAGCAGGGAAGACAAUGACGGUACCUGCAGAAUAAGCCCCGGCUGACUACGUGCCAGCAGCCGCGGUAAUACGUAGGGGGCAAGCGUUAUCCGGAUUUACUGGGUGUAAAGGGAGCGUAGACGGCAAUACAAGUCCGGAGUGAAAGCCCGUGGCUCAACUGCGGAACUGCUUUGGAAACUGUAUAGCUAGAGUGUCGGAGAGGUGAGUGGAAUUCCCAGUGUAGCGGUGAAAUGCGUAGAUAUUAGGAGGAACACCAGUGGCGAAGGCGGCUUACUGGACGAUAACUGACGUUGAGGCUCGAAAGCGUGGGGAGCAAACAGGAUUAGAUACCCUGGUA